UGUGAUGUGAAAACAGCCCCAAUGUCAGCCA
RNAcentral lists this non-coding RNA (31 nucleotides) under Mus musculus (house mouse). The record is from RNAcentral. Lineage: Eukaryota; Metazoa; Chordata; Mammalia; Rodentia; Muridae.